This 468-nucleotide ribosomal RNA is filed under the name uncultured bacterium. RNAcentral describes it as "partial 16S ribosomal RNA". It matches the Rfam family "Bacterial small subunit ribosomal RNA", at positions 28 to 507 of the family's 1533-position model. The record is from RNAcentral.
GACGAACGCUGGCGGCGUGCUUAACACAUGCAAGUCGAACGGAAAGGCCCUGCUUGUGUGGGGUGCUCGAGUGGCGAACGGGUGAGUAACACGUGAGUAACCUGCCCUUGACUGUGGGAUAACUUCAGGAAACUGGGGCUAAUACCGGAGAGGAGCUCCGGCUGCAUGGGGGGGGUUGGAAAGUUUACGCGGUGGGGGAUGGACUGGGGGCUUAUCAGCUUGUUGGGGGGGUAGUGGCUAACCAGGGCCUUGGCGGAUAGCCGGCCUGGGAGGGGGACCGGCCCCAAGGGUACUGAGAGACGGCGCAGUCGGCAAUGUGAGGCAGCAGGGGGGAAUAUUGCACAAUGGGCCCACGCCUGAUGUAGCGACGUUCGGUGCGUGAAGCAGUCCUUCGGGUUGUAAACCGCUUUCGCCUGUGACCAAGCGUGAGUGACGGUAACUGGUAAAGAAGCACCGGCUAACUACGUG